UAAUAUAGAACUCCUAUAAUUUGAAGUGCCUUAAGAUUUUGGGACUUUGUGCUGUUUUUGUUUUUUAACAUUCUAUUUUUUUGUUAUUUAUUUUUUAAUACAGCCUGUCAGAUAUUCAGGUUUAAGGGUUUUAAAGCCACUAUUGGCUACAGAAACCAAUAAAGAAUCAUAACAUCCUUCUUUUUUUUUUUUACUUUAGAAUGAGACAAAUCUCCAAUAAUAAUAAUGCUAUGUACAUACUGUAUGUCUGAUGUUGCUCUUUUAGAAGAUAGUUAAGUUGUUACACCAUUAAGUUUGUACACCAGCUACAACAGAUGCAUGGAAAAAAUAUAAGCAAAAACAAUGUAACUGUCUUAAAUUGCUUCAUUUACUACAAAAUCUGUAUUUUACAUUGGGACUGUUCCAUACUGCUUAAAAAAAUAUUUAUGACUUUGUGUCUUCAUCCAUUAUAAACUGCCAAAUUAAAUUAUGGAAAGGAAGAAAAAUUACCUUGACGCAGCAGUGGAACUGGAAGGAACAUGAGGUAGAUAUGUGCAUUAUCUUUAUGAUUGAUCUCUUCUACAUUGUAUUGUGUAUCCAAAACUGUACUUAUAUAACUUGCAUCUAAAAACAGUCAACUUUACAUUUUAAUGCACAGGUUGUCUGUGUGUUCUCUAAUUCAUGAUUGGUCUGAAAUGACUUUUAGGAAUGAAAUGUCUGUUCUGUGAGGGGUAAUGUCUAAUGGUGCUCCUAAAUUUCAUGCUGAAAUGUAAUUAAGGCCAGUUCACACUGGACGCACAUUACAACCUCAUUCAAUAAUCAAAUAUGUAAAAAAAAUAAAAUAAAACUAACAAUGACUUGGUUUCUGAACGCUUAAUUCGAUUAGAGCUUAAUUCGAGUAUGACCUUAAUUAGAUUAAGGUAAUUAAAAAUUGCUGUUUACAUGGUAGUUUCUUAAUCAAAGUAUGGUCUUAAUCUGGUUAAUUGUGGAUUAUUGUUGUCCAUGUAAACGCAGCUAAUGACUUGGUUUCUGAACGCUUAGUUGUGAAUAGUUCAGCUUCUUGCAAUACCAAAAUAAUAAUCACAACACUGCAAUGAAAUGUCCGAUAAACUGAAUUUUUGAAACCCAGUGAAAAUAUUAAUAUUAAUAGUAAUAUUUCUGUGAAGCCAGUGUUUAUUUCUUCCCUUGUAUUCCCUUCACGUAACUAACACUAGUCAGUAAUAUUCAUCAUUGAUCCUAACAGCCAUUUUCAGGCUUAUGCUUUCAUUGUUUAGGAUCUACAUACCACAAAGGCGUACUAUUAUAAUACUGACAAACACUGACCGAAUACAUUCAAACAACUUUGAAACCACAAAAAGUUAACCAUUUUCAUGUUUUGGCCAUAAUCAUACAAUAUCUUUCACAAUUUAUUAUUUUUUCAGAUUUCAAGAUUACAAAAUAAAAAUUGAGAGUCACAUAUAAUGAAAGUUUUAGGACUGUAACAGUUUAACUGGACUGUUUAUCAUCCAAGGCUGAGCCCAGAUUCUUCUCCAUCAAAUAACAUACUUCUAAAUAGACUCUUUACAUUUAUUUUUUGUUAUGUUUUGUUUUGUUUUUUGCAUGUGAGGGCUAAUUGCUUAAAAAAAUAAAAUCAUAAAACUUGCCUUGGGUGUUAUCAUGUUUGCAGGACUACCACUAGUUUGGUGUCGCUAGCCAAGGGGAGACACAACUAAGCUAUCAUUGUAUGGGUUUAGCUGCUACAGUACCAUGUAAAACUGUGUGAGCUAGUGUUUGGCAGAAUUGAGAGCCGUCAACCAAGAAGACAUGAGUAUUUCCACGUGUUUUCCUGUAAACCCUGUCUGAUUGGUCUUGCCUCUGUUCACUGAAGAUAAAAUACAACACUCUGUUCACUGAAGAUUUCAGUUCAGCAUUCAACACAAUCAUUCCUCAGCACCUGAUUGGAAAGCUGAACCUGUUGGCUCGAACAGCUACCUCUGCAACUGGAUCCUGGACUUCCUGACUGGGAGACCUCACUCAGUCUGGAUUGGGAACAGCAUUUCCAGCACCACCACACUGAGCACGGGGCCCCCAGAUCUGUGUGCUCAGUCCACUGCUGUUUACUCCACAGACUCACGACUGUGCAGCAAUGCACAGCUCGAAAUAUAUAAUAUAGUUUGUAUAUUAUGUAAGCAACUAAAAUUGGUUGUGACAGGUCUAGGUCAAAGGUCAUAAUCAUCAUAAUUAAAUAUAAUGAAGGUGACAGGUCAAAGGGUGAUCAUUGUCAAUUAUAAUUAUAUUAAAUCCGGUUUCGAUGUAUUCCGGAUGUAUUCCAGACACACACACAAGUUGUUUCCUUUACCAUAGAUUGUGAAACACUCAUGAGUUAGGCCUAGGACAAAAAAAGGUCAAUGAUAAUUACUGAUGCA
This is a long non-coding RNA of Ictalurus punctatus (channel catfish), 2384 nucleotides long. RefSeq lists it as uncharacterized. Lineage: Eukaryota; Metazoa; Chordata; Actinopteri; Siluriformes; Ictaluridae. The transcript has 3 exons. The record is from RefSeq and is a predicted model, not a curated record.